ACACGUGAGCAACCUGCCCCUGACUCUGGGAUAAGCGCUGGAAACGGUGUCUAAUACUGGAUAUGUCCCAUCACCGCAUGGUGUGUGGGUGGAAAGAUUUUUCGGUUGGGGAUGGGCUCGCGGCCUAUCAGCUUGUUGGUGAGGUAAUGGCUCACCAAGGCGUCGACGGGUAGCCGGCCUGAGAGGGUGACCGGCCACACUGGGACUGAGACACGGCCCAGACUCCUACGGGAGGCAGCAGUGGGGAAUAUUGCACAAUGGGCGCAAGCCUGAUGCAGCAACGCCGCGUGAGGGAUGACGGCCUUCGGGUUGUAAACCUCUUUUAGCAGGGAAGAAGCGAGAGUGACGGUACCUGCAGAAAAAGCACCGGCUAACUACGUGCCAGCAGCCGCGGUAAUACGUAGGGUGCAAGCGUUAUCCGGAAUUAUUGGGCGUAAAGAGCUCGUAGGCGGUUUGUCGCGUCUGCUGUGAAAUUCCGAGGCUCAACCUCGGGCUUGCAGUGGGUACGGGCAGACUAGAGUGCGGUAGGGGAGAUUGGAAUUCCUGGUGUAGCGGUGGAAUGCGCAGAUAUCAGGAGGAACACCGAUGGCGAAGGCAGAUCUCUGGGCCGUAACUGACGCUGAGGAGCGAAAGGGUGGGGAGCAAACAGGCUUAGAUACCCUGGUAGUCCACCCCGUAAACGUUGGGAACUAGUUGUGGGGUCCUUUCCACGGAUUCCGUGACGCAGCUAACGCAUUAAGUUCCCCGCCUGGGGAGUACGGCCGCAAGGCUAAAACUCAAAGGAAUUGACGGGGACCCGC
RNAcentral lists this ribosomal RNA (800 nucleotides) under bacterium. RNAcentral's name for it is "bacterial SSU rRNA". It matches the Rfam family "Bacterial small subunit ribosomal RNA", at positions 113 to 924 of the family's 1533-position model. The record is from RNAcentral.